This 1491-nucleotide long non-coding RNA is filed under the name Oncorhynchus kisutch (coho salmon). Its description in RNAcentral is "lncRNA (ENSOKIG00005041526.1)". The record is from RNAcentral. Lineage: Eukaryota; Metazoa; Chordata; Actinopteri; Salmoniformes; Salmonidae.
AUGACCACUGAUCCAACAGAGCAGGCCCUGGCCGCCACCCACACAGAGAUGACCACUGAUCCAACAGAGCAGACCCUGGCCGCCACCCACACAGAGAUGACCACUGACCCAACAGAGCAGACACUGGCCGCCACCCACACAGAGAUGACCACUGAUCCAACAGAGCAGACCCUGGCCGCCACCCACACAGAGAUGACCACUGACCCAACAGAGCAGACCCUGGCCGCCACCCACACAGAGAUGACCACUGACCCAACAGAGCAGACCCUGGCCGCCACCCACACAGAGAUGACCACUGAUCCAACAGAGCAGACCCUGGCCGCCACCCACACAGAGAUGACCACUGAUCCAACAGAGCAGACCCUGGCCGCCACCCACACAGAGAUGACCACUGACCCUACAGAGCAGACCCUGGCCGCCACCCACACAGAGAUGACCACUGAUCCAAAAGAGCAGACACUGGCCGCCACCCACACAAAGAUGACCACUGAUCCAACAGAGCAGACCCUGGCCGCCACCCACACAGAGAUGACCACUGAUCCAAAAGAGCAGACCCUGGCCGCCACCCACACAGAGAUGACCACUGAUCCAACAGAGCAGACCCUGGCCGCCACCCACACAGAGAUGACCACUGAUCCAACAGAGCAGACCCUGGCCGCCACCCACACAGAGAUGACCACUGACCCAACAGAGCAGACCCUGGCCGCCACCCACACAGAGAUGAACACUGACCCAACAGAGCAGACCCUGGCCGCCACCCACACAGAGAUGACCACUGAUCCAACAGAGCAGACCCUGGCCGCCACCCACACAGAGAUGACCACUGAUCCAACAGAGCAGACCCUGGCCGCCACCCACACAGAGAUGACCACUGACCCUACAGAGCAGACCCUGGCCGCCACCCACACAGAGAUGACCACUGAUCCAAAAGAGCAGACCCUGGCCGCCACCCACACAGAGAUGACCACUGAUCCAACAGAGCAGACCCUGGCCGCCACCCACACAGAGAUGACCACUGACCCAAAAGAGCAGACCCUGGCCGCCACCCACACAGAGAUGACCACUGAUCCAACAGAGCAGACCCUGGCCGCCACCCACACAGAGAUGACCACUGAUCCAACAGAGCAGACCCUGGCCGCCACCCACACAGAGAUGACCACUGAUCCAACAGAGCAGACCCUGGCCGCCACCCACACAGAGAUGACCACUGAUCCAACAGAGCAGACCCUGGCCGCCACCCACACAGAGAUGACCACUGACCCAACAGAGCAGACCCUGGCCGCCACCCACACAGAGAUGACCACUGACCCAACAGAGCAGACCCUGGCCGCCACCCACACAGAGAUGACCACUGACCCAACAGAGCAGACCUUGGCCGCCACCCACACAGAGAUGACCACUGACCCAACAGAGCAGACCCUGGCCGCCACCCACACAGAGAUGACCACGGACCCAACAGAGCAGCCCUGGCCGCCACCCACACAGAGAUGA